This is a long non-coding RNA of Myotis brandtii (Brandt's bat), 230 nucleotides long. RefSeq lists it as uncharacterized. NCBI's taxonomy places the organism in Eukaryota, Metazoa, Chordata, Mammalia, Chiroptera, Vespertilionidae. The transcript is spliced from 3 exons. The record is from RefSeq and is a predicted model, not a curated record.
UUCAGAGAAAUGAAGGGAGUUGACUGUCGCUACAGAACUGAUCUUGGAAGUUUGGGUUCAGUGAACUUUGGGUGUUUCCAGAAAGCUCACCACAUAUUCCUCUGAAGCAGAUAUCCAGGAACCAAAUCUUGCUACAAUUGCACAACGAUGUCUACGUGAGGGUCUUUGGUGCGUUCCUGUCCCAGAAGUGUGGACCUUGGGUGAGACUCUCAUCCUGUUGCCACUUCUGU